AAGGGGUUUGNUCAUGGCUCAGAACGAACGCUGGCGGCAUGCCUAACACAUGCAAGUCGAACGAGACCUUCGGGUCUAGUGGCGCACGGGUGCGUAACGCGUGGGAAUCUGCCCUUCGGUUGGGAAUAACACAGAGAAAUUUGUGCUAAUACCUUAUAAUGUCUUCGGACCAAAGAUUUAUCGCCGAGGGAUGAGCCCGCGUAGGAUUAGGUAGUUGGUGGGGUAAUGGCCUACCAAGCCGACGAUCCUUAGCUGGUCUGAGAGGAUGAUCAGCCACACUGGGACUGAGACACGGCCCAGACUCCUACGGGAGGCAGCAGUGGGGAAUAUUGGACAAUGGGCGAAAGCCUGAUCCAGCAAUGCCGCGUGAGUGAUGAAGGCCUUAGGUUGUAAAGCUCUUUUACCAGGGAUGAUAAUGACAGUACCUGGAGAAUAAGCUCCGGCUAACUCCGUGCCAGCAGCCGCGGGUAAUACGGAGGGAGCUUAGCGUUGUUCGGAAUUACUGGGCGUAAAGCGCGCGUAGGCGGCUUGUUCAAAUCAGAAGGUGAAAGCCCGGGGCU
Molecule: ribosomal RNA, 560 nt
Filed under: uncultured Pseudomonadota bacterium
Lineage: Bacteria; Pseudomonadati; Pseudomonadota
Description: bacterial SSU rRNA
Rfam family: Bacterial small subunit ribosomal RNA
Source: RNAcentral